UGAACGCUGGCGGCGUGCUUAACACAUGCAAGUCGAACGAGGGUUACUGGUUGAAGUUUUCGGAUGGAAACCGGUAAUUCCUAGUGGCGGACGGGUGAGUAACGCGUGGGGAACCUGCCCCGCUCCGGGGGAUACCAGCUGGAAACGGCUGUUAAUACCGCAUAAGCGCACAGUAUCGCAUGAUGCAGUGUGAAAAACUCCGGUGGAACGGGAUGGCCCCGCGUCUGAUUAGCCAGUUGGCAGGGUAACGGCCUACCAAAGCGACGAUCAGUAGCCGGCCUGAGAGGGCGACCGGCCACAUUGGGACUGAGACACGGCCCAAACUCCUACGGGAGGCAGCAGUGGGGAAUAUUGCACAAUGGGGGAAACCCUGAUGCAGCGACGCCGCGUGAGUGAGGAAGUAUUUCGGUAUGUAAAGCUCUAUCAGCAGGGAAGAAGAUGACGGUACCUGCACAAGAAGCCCCGGCUAACUACGUGCCAGCAGCAGC
Molecule: ribosomal RNA, 488 nt
Filed under: uncultured bacterium
Lineage: Bacteria
Description: bacterial SSU rRNA
Rfam family: Bacterial small subunit ribosomal RNA
Source: RNAcentral